GUCAAGUACAAAGAGCAUCGGGUGGAUGCCUUGGCACUGGGAGCCGAAGAAGGACGUGAUAAGCUGCGAUAAGCUGCGGUAAGGAGCACAUAUCCGAUAUACCCGCAGAUUUCCGAAUGGGGGAACCCACAUACGGUAAUGCGUAUGUAUCAUUAAGUGAAUACAUAGCUUAAUGAGGGGAACGGGGUGAACUGAAACAUCUAAGUAGCCCUAGGAAGAGAAAGAAAAAUCGAUUUCCUGAGUAGCGGCGAGCGAAAGGGAAAGAGGCCAAACCAAAUUGUUUACAGUUUGGGGUUGUGGACCACCGACAUUGACGAAGUUAUGCGAGCCGAAUAGGGUUGGAAAGCUCAAGCAGAGAAGGUAAUACUCCUGUAGGCGAAGCAGAAAGCGCAUAGGUGGCACCAGAGUAGGACCGGACACGUGUAACCCGGUCUGAAGCAGGAGGGACCACCCUCCAAGCCUAAAUACUACCCAGUGACCGAUAGCGAAUAGUACCGUGAGGGAAAGGUGAAAAGAACCCCGGGAGGGGAGUGAAAUAGAAUCUGAAACCUGAUGCUUACAAGCAUAGGGAGCGCAAGUGACCUAGUACUUUUUGUAGAACGGGCCAACGAGUUAUGGUAUGUAGCGAGGUUAAGUUGCUGGAGCAACGGAGCCGUAGAGAAAUCGAGUCUGAAUAGGGCGAGAGUUACAUGCUGUAGACCCGAAACCGGGUGACCUAUCCAUGAGCAGGUUGAAGUAACCGUAAAAGGUUAUGGAGGACCGAACCUAUAUCUGUUGAAAAAGGUUAGGAUGACUUGUGGAUAGCGGUGAAAUUCCAAUCGAACUCGGAUAUAGCUGGUUCUCCUCGAAAUAGCUUUAGGGCUAGCCUCAAGGUAAAGAUACACGGGGGUAGAGCACUGACUGUUCGCGGGGCCUUCACCGGUUACCAACAACUAUCAAACUCCGAAUACCGUGGUAUCAUACUUGGGAGUCAGACUAUGAGAGAUAAGUUCCAUGGUCGAAAGGGAAACAGCCCAGAUCAACAGCUAAGGUCCCAAAGAGUAAGUUAAGUGGAAAAGGAUGUGGGAUUGCACAAACAGCUAGGAUGUUGGCUUAGAAGCAGCCAUACAUUUAAAGAGUGCGUAAUAGCUCACUAGUCGAGUGAUCCUGCGCCGAAGAUAAACGGGGCUCAAACUUACCACCGAAGCUUUGGAAUUAGUAUAACUAAUUGGUAGAGGAGCAUUCUAUACAGGUAGAAGGAGGCGCGUAAGCAAAUCUGGACGGUAUAGAAGAGAGAAUGUUGGCAUGAGUAGCGUAAGGCGGGUGAGAAUCCCGUCCGCCGAAAAUCUAAGGUUUCCUGAGGAAGGUUCGUCCUCUCAGGGUAAGUCGGGACCUAAGCCGAGAGCGAACGCUGUAGGCGAUGGACAACAGGUUGAUAUUCCUGUACCACCAAGGAUUGUUUGAAUGAAGUGGGGACACAGAAGGAUAGAUUGAGCACGCCGUUGGUUGAGCGUGUCCAAGCAGUAAGGCUUGAAAGUAGGCAAAUCCGCUUUCUACAAGGCUGAGCUGUGAUGGGGUGGUCGAAUGACCGGUAGCAAUCGAUUUCACGCUGUCAAGAAAAGCCGCUAAUGAGAUCCAAGGUGCCCGUACCGCAAACCGACACAGGUAGAUGAGGAGAGAAUCCUAAGGUGAGCGAGAGAACUAUUGUUAAGGAACUCGGCAAAAUAACCCCGUAACUUCGGGAGAAGGGGUGCCUGCUUCGGCAGGCCGCAGUGAAGAGGUCCAGGCAACUGUUUACCAAAAACACAGGUCUCUGCUAAAGCGAAAGCUGAUGUAUAGGGGCUGACGCCUGCCCGGUGCUGGAAGGUUAAGGGGAAGUGUUAGGGCAACCGAAGCACAGAACUUAAGCCCCAGUAAACGGCGGCCGUAACUAUAACGGUCCUAAGGUAGCGAAAUUCCUUGUCGGGUAAGUUCCGACCCGCACGAAAGGCGUAAUGAUUUG
This 1981-nucleotide ribosomal RNA is filed under the name human metagenome. Its description in RNAcentral is "bacterial LSU rRNA". It matches the Rfam family "Bacterial large subunit ribosomal RNA", at positions 1 to 2011 of the family's 2925-position model. The record is from RNAcentral.